GCUUGUCUCAAAGAUUAAGCCAUGCAUGUCUAAGUGUAAAUAAGUCUAUACUGUGAAACUGCGAAUGGCUCAUUAAAUCAGUUAUCGUUUAUUUGAUGAUCUCUUACUACUUGGAUAACCGUAGUAAUUCUAGAGCUAAUACAUGCAUCAAUACCCAACUGUUCGCGGAAGGGUAGUAUUUAUUAGAUUGAAACCAAUGCAGUCUUCGGGCUGGUAUUGUGUUGAGUCAUAAUAACUGUGCGGAUCGCGUUUUACGCGAUAAAUCGAUUGAGUUUCUGCCCUAUCAGCUUUGGAUGGUAGGAUAUGGGCCUACCAUGGCAUUAACGGGUAACGGGGAAUUAGGGUUUGAUUCCGGAGAGGGAGCCUUAGAAACGGCUACCACAUCCAAGGAAGGCAGCAGG
Molecule: ribosomal RNA, 401 nt
Filed under: Phytopythium sindhum
Lineage: Eukaryota; Oomycota; Peronosporomycetes; Pythiales; Pythiaceae
Description: partial small subunit ribosomal RNA
Rfam family: Eukaryotic small subunit ribosomal RNA
Source: RNAcentral